GAGAAAUGAGAGUGAGAAUGAGAGUUAAGAUGAGAUUGAGAGAGAAGAUGGGAGAGAGGAGUAAUAAAAGUGAAAAUAAUUUCAAAUAGAUUUCAGUUUUUAGUUUUUAUUUUCACUUUUGUUACUCCUCUCUCUCAUCCUCUAUUCUCAUAUUCCAUCUCAAUCUCACUUCCAUUCUCACUCUUUUUUCUCU
RNAcentral lists this small nucleolar RNA (193 nucleotides) under Prunus dulcis (almond). RNAcentral describes it as "sRNA ncRNA". Lineage: Eukaryota; Viridiplantae; Streptophyta; Magnoliopsida; Rosales; Rosaceae. The record is from RNAcentral.